GGGUUGUGAGGUUAAGCGACUAAGCGUACACGGUGGAUGCCCUGGCAGUCAGAGGCGAUGAAGGACGUGCUAAUCUGCGAUAAGCGUCGGUAAGGUGAUAUGAACCGUUAUAACCGGCGAUUUCCGAAUGGGGAAACCCAGUGUGUUUCGACACACUAUCAUUAACUGAAUCCAUAGGUUAAUGAGGCGAACCGGGGGAACUGAAACAUCUAAGUACCCCGAGGAAAAGAAAUCAACCGAGAUUCCCCCAGUAGCGGCGAGCGAACGGGGAGCAGCCCAGAGCCUGAAUCAGUGUGUGUGUUAGUGGAAGCGUCUGGAAAGGCGCGCGAUACAGGGUGACAGCCCCGUACACAAAAAUGCACAUGCUGUGAGCUCGAUGAGUAGGGCGGGACACGUGGUAUCCUGUCUGAAUAUGGGGGGACCAUCCUCCAAGGCUAAAUACUCCUGACUGACCGAUAGUGAACCAGUACCGUGAGGGAAAGGCGAAAAGAACCCCGGCGAGGGGAGUGAAAAAGAACCUGAAACCGUGUACGUACAAGCAGUGGGAGCCUCUUUAUGGGGUGACUGCGUACCUUUUGUAUAAUGGGUCAGCGACUUAUAUUCUGUAGCAAGGUUAACCGAAUAGGGGAGCCGAAGGGAAACCGAGUCUUAACUGGGCGUUAAGUUGCAGGGUAUAGACCCGAAACCCGGUGAUCUAGCCAUGGGCAGGUUGAAGGUUGGGUAACACUAACUGGAGGACCGAACCGACUAAUGUUGAAAAAUUAGCGGAUGACUUGUGGCUGGGGGUGAAAGGCCAAUCAAACCGGGAGAUAGCUGGUUCUCCCCGAAAGCUAUUUAGGUAGCGCCUCGUGAAUUCAUCUCCGGGGGUAGAGCACUGUUUCGGCAAGGGGGUCAUCCCGACUUACCAACCCGAUGCAAACUGCGAAUACCGGAGAAUGUUAUCACGGGAGACACACGGCGGGUGCUAACGUCCGUCGUGAAGAGGGAAACAACCCAGACCGCCAGCUAAGGUCCCAAAGUCAUGGUUAAGUGGGAAACGAUGUGGGAAGGCCCAGACAGCCAGGAUGUUGGCUUAGAAGCAGCCAUCAUUUAAAGAAAGCGUAAUAGCUCACUGGUCGAGUCGGCCUGCGCGGAAGAUGUAACGGGGCUAAACCAUGCACCGAAGCUGCGGCAGCGACGCUUAUGCGUUGUUGGGUAGGGGAGCGUUCUGUAAGCCUGUGAAGGUGUGCUGUGAGGCAUGCUGGAGGUAUCAGAAGUGCGAAUGCUGACAUAAGUAACGAUAAAGCGGGUGAAAAGCCCGCUCGCCGGAAGACCAAGGGUUCCUGUCCAACGUUAAUCGGGGCAGGGUGAGUCGACCCCUAAGGCGAGGCCGAAAGGCGUAGUCGAUGGGAAACAGGUUAAUAUUCCUGUACUUGGUGUUACUGCGAAGGGGGGACGGAGAAGGCUAUGUUGGCCGGGCGACGGUUGUCCCGGUUUAAGCGUGUAGGCUGGUUUUCCAGGCAAAUCCGGAAAAUCAAGGCUGAGGCGUGAUGACGAGGCACUACGGUGCUGAAGCAACAAAUGCCCUGCUUCCAGGAAAAGCCUCUAAGCAUCAGGUAACAUCAAAUCGUACCCCAAACCGACACAGGUGGUCAGGUAGAGAAUACCAAGGCGCUUGAGAGAACUCGGGUGAAGGAACUAGGCAAAAUGGUGCCGUAACUUCGGGAGAAGGCACGCUGAUAUGUAGGUGAAGUCCCUCGCGGAUGGAGCUGAAAUCAGUCGAAGAUACCAGCUGGCUGCAACUGUUUAUUAAAAACACAGCACUGUGCAAACACGAAAGUGGACGUAUACGGUGUGACGCCUGCCCGGUGCCGGAAGGUUAAUUGAUGGGGUCAGCGCAAGCGAAGCUCUUGAUCGAAGCCCCGGUAAACGGCGGCCGUAACUAUAACGGUCCUAAGGUAGCGAAAUUCCUUGUCGGGUAAGUUCCGACCUGCACGAAUGGCGUAAUGAUGGCCAGGCUGUCUCCACCCGAGACUCAGUGAAAUUGAACUCGCUGUGAAGAUGCAGUGUACCCGCGGCAAGACGGAAAGACCCCGUGAACCUUUACUAUAGCUUGACACUGAACAUUGAGCCUUGAUGUGUAGGAUAGGUGGGAGGCUUAGAAGUGUGGACGCCAGUCUGCAUGGAGCCGACCUUGAAAUACCACCCUUUAAUGUUUGAUGUUCUAACGUUGACCCGUAAUCCGGGUUGCGGACAGUGUCUGGUGGGUAGUUUGACUGGGGCGGUCUCCUCCUAAAGAGUAACGGAGGAGCACGAAGGUUGGCUAAUCCUGGUCGGACAUCAGGAGGUUAGUGCAAUGGCAUAAGCCAGCUUGACUGCGAGCGUGACGGCGCGAGCAGGUGCGAAAGCAGGUCAUAGUGAUCCGGUGGUUCUGAAUGGAAGGGCCAUCGCUCAACGGAUAAAAGGUACUCCGGGGAUAACAGGCUGAUACCGCCCAAGAGUUCAUAUCGACGGCGGUGUUUGGCACCUCGAUGUCGGCUCAUCACAUCCUGGGGCUGAAGUAGGUCCCAAGGGUAUGGCUGUUCGCCAUUUAAAGUGGUACGCGAGCUGGGUUUAGAACGUCGUGAGACAGUUCGGUCCCUAUCUGCCGUGGGCGCUGGAGAACUGAGGGGGGCUGCUCCUAGUACGAGAGGACCGGAGUGGACGCAUCACUGGUGUUCGGGUUGUCAUGCCAAUGGCACUGCCCGGUAGCUAAAUGCGGAAGAGAUAAGUGCUGAAAGCAUCUAAGCACGAAACUUGCCCCGAGAUGAGUUCUCCCUGACCCUUUAAGGGUCCUGAAGGAACGUUGAAGACGACGACGUUGAUAGGCCGGGUGUGUAAGCGCAGCGAUGCGUUGAGCUAACCGGUACUAAUGAACCGUGAGGCUUAACCUUACAACGCCGAAG
RNAcentral lists this ribosomal RNA (2924 nucleotides) under Escherichia coli. RNAcentral describes it as "partial 23S ribosomal RNA". It matches the Rfam family "Bacterial large subunit ribosomal RNA". The record is from RNAcentral. Lineage: Bacteria; Pseudomonadati; Pseudomonadota; Gammaproteobacteria; Enterobacterales; Enterobacteriaceae.